GAGCUUCCUUAACAAAUAACUCCCGUAAAAAAACUCAUGAGCUUCCUUAACAAAUAACUCCCGUAAAAAACUCUUAUGCACACAUAAUUUGUUUUCUCGAAACAAAAAUCCUUCAUGCGAAAAAAUUCACUUUCUUUUUUCCUUUUUUUCUUUCACUCGAUUCUUCUUUUUCUCGCUCACCCUCUCUUUCUUUUUCUUUUUUCUCAUGCUCAUUUUCUCUUUUCUUUUAUUUCUCUUUUUCUUUUUUCUUUGCCUUCUCAUUUUCUUUUGUCUCUUACUCAUUUUCUGUUGAUUUUGUUACAUCACUCUCUUUGUUUUUUACUUACUCACUUUAUUCUUUCAAGCGAAUUUGAUCAUUGUACACUUGUUUCAGAGUCAUGGGAACAAGUGUUAUUGGCAUUCCGUUGAGCUUGAACAAAUAUCGAUUGGUGAAACCAUCGUGCACCACCCUCUGAUCAUAUUGCCAUGGCCUUCCAAGUAUGACAUGUCUCACGUGCAUUGGAACAACAUCAUAAAGGACUUUAUAACCAUAUUUCCAAGUGGCAAAAGAAACCAACUCUUGUUUCACAACCUUAAUUUCACCACCAUCAUUCAACAACUGCAACUUGUAUGGUUGUGG
Molecule: long non-coding RNA, 619 nt
Filed under: Gossypium raimondii (Peruvian cotton)
Lineage: Eukaryota; Viridiplantae; Streptophyta; Magnoliopsida; Malvales; Malvaceae
Description: long non-coding RNA (GRAI_LNC001408)
Source: RNAcentral